CUGUACAGUUUUUUUUAUUCACGUAAGUACAUAAUAACCCUUAGAUUAAAUUGCAUUUUUACAAUAAAUAACCAAGCUUAGUGCUAUAUAUAUGACCUGCUACAUCGCUGCAUGCAUAACCUGGGAUGGUGCUGCCUACUUGCCUAGUGCAAUACUAGUAUAUAGCCGAGACCUAUCUGGCGUCGUGACUAUAGCUGACUAGCUUUGGAAUAAAAUGACACAUAUCAUUGGUCAACAAGGGUAUAUAUAGGCUGCAUCCUGUGUGAUGUGGAAUUCUUUCAAUUACUCCCUCCAUAUCUGAAUUAGUUGUCGUUGUGGGAGGGAGUCACGUUUUCAUAAAGAGUGUCGCUGAGGGUGAGAGAUAGAGCAUUUGGACGCGACUGCCCCUGGAGACGCUUCGGCUGCUGCCCGCAUUAAUCGCAUGAGCAGCAACGCAGCGAGCGCCAUGCAGCACAAAAAUGCCUUAGGCCCUGUUUAGUUCCCCACCCAAAAAUUUUUCAUCCAUCCCAUCGAAUCUUUCGACACAUGCAUGGAACAUUAAAUGUAGAUAAAAAAAUAAACUAAUUACACAGUUUAGUUGAGAAUCGCGAGACGAAUCUUUUAAGCCUAGUUACUCCAUGAUUAGCCUUAAGUGCUACAGUAACCCACAUAUGCUAAUGACAGAUUAAUUAUGCUUAAUAAAUUUGUCUUGCAGUUUUCUGACGAGUUAUGUAAUUUGUUUUUUUAUUAGUUUCUAAAAACUCCUCCCGACAUCUUUCCGACACAUCCGAUGUGACACCCAAAAAAUUUUCGUUCUCAAUCUAAACAGGCCCAUACAGCAAUAAAAAAGAGCACUUGUGGGGACUUGAACCAUUGACCAGCAGCCUCAGGCCAAGAGAACUAGCCACUCGAGCUACACAAGGUCAUUGUAAAAAUAACACCCGCAGUGGUAUUUAAUAAGGGCAAAGAAGAUAAAAUACUCUCUAAUUAAUUACUCCUUGGUUACCACAAUUCUGUCUUAAACGUCAACUAAUUCAGGUAUGGAGGGAGUAUCUCACAAUUCAUGACAAGUACAAGAAGACUCACACUUCUCACUGUAUUUUUUUUAAUUAGGUUAACACCGUAGGGGGACGAAUGGUCCCCACAUAAAUUUUCAUUCCUUAGAUGC
RNAcentral lists this long non-coding RNA (1147 nucleotides) under Sorghum bicolor (sorghum). RNAcentral describes it as "long non-coding RNA (SBIC_LNC001251)". Lineage: Eukaryota; Viridiplantae; Streptophyta; Magnoliopsida; Poales; Poaceae. The record is from RNAcentral.